Aegilops tauschii subsp. strangulata is the source of this 144-nucleotide non-coding RNA. NCBI's taxonomy places the organism in Eukaryota, Viridiplantae, Streptophyta, Magnoliopsida, Poales, Poaceae. The record is from RefSeq and is a predicted model, not a curated record.
GGAAUGACAUGCAGGCAAGGGCCAUGUACGAGCUCCUUGUGUCUGUGUGCGAGAAGACAGGUCAGACCGCUCCACCGAUGCCAAUGAUUGCUCCUGGGACCACGCGUAACUCCAGACAAGCAUCGCACGAUCCUUCUCCAGCUA